UACGGAAGGGGCAAGCGUUGUUCGGAAUCAUUGGGCGUAAAGGGCGCGUAGGUGGUUCUGUAUGUCUACCGUGAAAGCGUACGGCUCAACCGUAUUUUGUCGGUAGAAACUGCAGGACUUGAGGCUGGGAGGGGCUGGUGGAAUUCCCUGUGUAGCGGUGAAAUGCGCAGAUAUCAGGAGGAACACCGGUGGCGAAGGCGGGAUCCUGGGCCAGUACUGACGCUGAGGAGCGAAAGCGUGGGGAGCGAACAGG
Molecule: ribosomal RNA, 253 nt
Filed under: uncultured bacterium
Lineage: Bacteria
Description: partial 16S ribosomal RNA
Rfam family: Bacterial small subunit ribosomal RNA
Source: RNAcentral